AUCUUCCGCAAUGGACGCAAGUCUGACGGAGCAACGCCGCGUGCGUGAUGAAGGUUUUCGGGUCGUAAAACUCUGUUGUUAGGGAAGAACAAGUGCUAGUUGAAUAAGCUGGCACCUUGACGGUACCUAACCAGAAAGCCACGGCUACCUACGUGCCACCAUCCGCGGUAAUACGUAGGUGGCAAGCGUUAUCCGGAAUUAUUGGGCGUAAAGCGCGCGCAGGUGGUUUCGUAAGUCUGAUGUGGAAGCCCACGGCUCAACCGUGGAGGGUCAUUGGAAACUGGGAGACUUGAGUGCAGAAGAGGAAAGUGGAAUUCCAUGUGUAGCGGUGAAAUGCGUAGAGAUAUGGAGGAACACCAGUGGCGAAGGCGACUUUCUGGUCUGUAACUGACACUGAGGCGCGAAAGCGUGGGGAGCAAACAG
Molecule: ribosomal RNA, 423 nt
Filed under: uncultured bacterium
Lineage: Bacteria
Description: bacterial SSU rRNA
Rfam family: Bacterial small subunit ribosomal RNA
Source: RNAcentral